RNAcentral lists this ribosomal RNA (502 nucleotides) under uncultured bacterium. RNAcentral describes it as "partial 16S ribosomal RNA". It matches the Rfam family "Bacterial small subunit ribosomal RNA", at positions 30 to 523 of the family's 1533-position model. The record is from RNAcentral.
AUUGAACGCUGGCGGCAUGCCUUACACAUGCAAGUCGAACGGCAGCACGGGUGCUUGCACCUGGUGGCGAGUGGCGAACGGGUGAGUAAUAUAUCGGAACGUACCUUAUUGUGGGGGAUAACGCAGCGAAAGCUGUGCUAAUACCGCAUAAUCCCUAAGGGGGAAAGCGGGGGACCGUAAGGCCUCGCGCAAUUAGAGCGGCCGAUACCUGAUUAGCUAGUUGGUGAGGUAAAGGCUCACCAAGGCAACGAUCAGUAGCUGGUCUGAGAGGACGACCAGCCACACUGGGACUGAGACACGGCCCAGACUCCUACGGGAGGCAGCAGUGGGGAAUUUUGGACAAUGGACGCAAGUCUGAUCCAGCCAUUCCGCGUGCAGGACGAAGGCCUUCGGGUUGUAAACUGCUUUUGUACAGGACGAAAAGGUCUUUAUUAAUACUAGGGGCUCAUGACGGUACUGUAAGAAUAAGCACCGGCUAACUACGUGCCAGCAGCCGCCGCCG